GGGGGACGGCCCUCCGGGAUCGGCUUUCAGGAGCAGGUCUCAAACCAGUCCGAGCUGCUGCGGUAAAGAGCCGUGGUGGUGAGCGUCGGAUGAAACGUUCGGACGAGAUCCGAGCAGGU
This is a non-coding RNA of Rhizobium sp. PDO1-076, 119 nucleotides long. The record is from Rfam. NCBI's taxonomy places the organism in Bacteria, Pseudomonadati, Pseudomonadota, Alphaproteobacteria, Hyphomicrobiales, Rhizobiaceae.